UACGUAGGGGGCAAGCGUUGUCCGGAUUUAUUGGGCGUAAAGAGCGUGUAGGCGGCCAGGCAGGUCAGCUGUGAAAACUCGAGGCUCAACCUCGAGACGCCGGUUGAAACCAUCUGGCUAGAGUCCGGAAGAGGAGAGUGGAAUUCCUGGUGUAGCGGUGAAAUGCGCAGAUAUCAGGAAGAACACCCGUGGCUAAGGCGGCUCUCUAGUACGGUACUGACGCUGAGACGCGAAAGCGUGGGGAGCGAACAGG
This 253-nucleotide ribosomal RNA is filed under the name uncultured bacterium. RNAcentral's name for it is "partial 16S ribosomal RNA". It matches the Rfam family "Bacterial small subunit ribosomal RNA", at positions 524 to 776 of the family's 1533-position model. The record is from RNAcentral.